This 87-nucleotide transfer RNA is filed under the name Chloroflexota bacterium. RNAcentral describes it as "Chloroflexi bacterium tRNA-Ser". It matches the Rfam family "tRNA". From Rfam's summary of the family: Transfer RNA (tRNA) molecules are approximately 80 nucleotides in length. Their secondary structure includes four short double-helical elements and three loops (D, anti-codon, and T loops). Lineage: Bacteria; Bacillati; Chloroflexota. The record is from RNAcentral.
GGAGGGAUGGCCGAGUGGACGAAGGCGUCGGUCUUGAAAACCGAUGUGGGUUAACGCUCACCGUGGGUUCGAAUCCCACUCCCUCCG